Molecule: ribosomal RNA, 484 nt
Filed under: uncultured bacterium
Lineage: Bacteria
Description: partial 16S ribosomal RNA
Rfam family: Bacterial small subunit ribosomal RNA
Source: RNAcentral
AUUGAACGCUGGCGGCAGGCCUAACACAUGCAAGUCGAGCGGAAGAAGGGUGCUUGCUCCUGGAUUCAGCGGCCGACGGGUGAGUAAUGCCUAGGAAUCUGCCUGGUAGUGGGGGAUAACGUCCGGAAACGGGCGCUAAUACCGUAUAAGCCCUGAGGGAGAAAGGGGGGGAUCAUGGGAUCUUACGCUAUCAGGUGAGCCUAUGUCGGAUUAGCUAGUUGGUGGGGUAAAGGCCUACCAAGGCGACGAUCCGUAACUGGUCUGAGAGGAUGAUCAGUCACACUGGAACUGAGACACGGUCCAGACUCCUACGGGAGGCAGCAGUGGGGAAUAUUGGACAAUGGGCGAAAGCCUGAUCCAGCCAUGCCGCGUGUGUGAAGAAGGUCUUCGGAUUGUAAAGCACUUUUAGUUGGGAGGAAGGGCAGUAAGUUAAUACCUUGCUGUUUUGACGUUACCAAAAGAAUAAGCACCGGCUAACUUCGUG